AAAUAGCCCCGAUAGCAACGGUUACCCCGCAGCAUGGAUUGGACACGGUCCGGCGCGAGGAGUAUGAGUGGAUAGCGGGAAAAGCU
RNAcentral lists this unclassified non-coding RNA (86 nucleotides) under Chryseobacterium contaminans. RNAcentral describes it as "Flavo-1 RNA". The record is from RNAcentral. Lineage: Bacteria; Pseudomonadati; Bacteroidota; Flavobacteriia; Flavobacteriales; Weeksellaceae.